This 469-nucleotide long non-coding RNA is filed under the name Elaeis guineensis (African oil palm). RNAcentral's name for it is "long non-coding RNA (EGUI_LNC080424)". Lineage: Eukaryota; Viridiplantae; Streptophyta; Magnoliopsida; Arecales; Arecaceae. The record is from RNAcentral.
ACCGGAUUCCCCCGACGGACGAACUCCUGCUGCAUCUCCCGAGCUUCUCCAGCGAUAAGCUUCUUCGAUCGUCUAUCAGGCUGUUCUAAAUGCUCUCUAGAUUCUACUAUCGACCGACCUCCUACAAGGAUCAACCGUUCUCCGAACCUCUUCCAGAUCUUUUCCAACAGGAUUCGAUCGACUCCAAUCCGAAUUUCUUUCAGAACUUCGUCAGUUCGUCAGUGGCCAAACUUUUCCAACAGCAGAUCUCCACGACGGACGAACUCCAUCCAAGCUUCUACGACGGUCGACCGCCUUCUGGAUUUCAUCCGAGCUCCUACGGGAGCCGGACUUCUUCCCCAAACUCCUACUGCAGGUAGACUUCAUCCGAGCUCCUACGAGAGCUAGACUUCAGCCCUGAGCUCCUAUUGCAGGUAGACCUCAUCCGAAUUCUUACAAAGGUCGGGCUCCGAGCCCCCACCACAAGCGA